UCGCUUUACCCAAAAUGUCAUCCUCAGCCUCAGGAAGAUAACGUGGAUGUGGGCAUCUGAAUUCUAUAAAAUAAAACCCAUCUAAUUCUUAUAAAAUGGUUUACUACACAAAUGGAUAAGAAUUCAUGUAAAGGAAGCGGUAUAGUUUGGAGAUGGCUUCCACUGCCUUGUCUUCCCAAUACCUCUCUUUCCGCCAUGCCCAUCCUCCUGCAACUUUCUCCAGGUGGGGUUGGAACAGGGAUCAAGGUGGAGGCAAAAUUACCCAUAGAACAAGGGGUCAAGCGUUUCGAAUCUUGGCCAACCCUAAUGUCUCUCCUGGGAAAGAUGGCUUUGUUAAAGAGGUGAUCAUGGUAGAUCCUUUGGAAGCCAAACGAAUGGCUGCGAAACAAAUGGAAAAGAUAAAAGCAAAAGAGAAAUUGAAGCGAAGACGUCAAAUAGAAGCGAUUAAUGGAGCAUGGGCAAUGAUUGGUCUCACUGCAGGGCUCGUCAUCGAAGGUCAAACUGGAAAAGGCAUUCUAGCGCAGUAACCCCAAUGGUUGUGCGGAGCGGUUAAAAAGGUCCUUAAAUACGACAAGAAUUUAUGGCAUCGACUGCUUCAUUUAGAUACGUUAUUUUCACUCGAACGUUACAAGGUUCGAUGAUAGUCAUCAUUUUUCUUCAUUUGAGUAAACAUGGAGGUGAAAGUGUUGGGUUGGACAACAGUUGACCGAUUACUUCAACACCGUUGUCCAUGUCUUUGUACGAUAGACAACUUCGAAGGCAAAGAUUGAAGUCUUCGAAUGAGGAACUAUUCUCGUAUCAACCAUUGAAAGUUUAGUACAUUAAAUAUUUCUGAGCAGGUCUUAUCGCACAUCGUUUUAUACAUUUGUAUGGAAAAAAAAAAGAGGAGAUCUUUCCAUCCUAAGAACCUCAAGAAUCAAACUGGUGUUGAGGACUCUGUAUUGAUUCCUUUUCUCAAGUUUGAUUUUUCUGCACAUUUCAUAUACAAAAUUGACAUUUAAUUGUGAAGCCAUUGGGAUAUGAACUAUGAAGCAGUGGAUAUAUAUGGUUCUGUUUUGGAAGAUUUUAUUGAUAAUACAGUCAAUAUCUCAUUCUCUACA
Momordica charantia (bitter melon) is the source of this 1100-nucleotide non-coding RNA. NCBI's taxonomy places the organism in Eukaryota, Viridiplantae, Streptophyta, Magnoliopsida, Cucurbitales, Cucurbitaceae. The record is from RefSeq and is a predicted model, not a curated record.